GAUGAACGCUGGCGGCGUGCCUAAUACAUGCAAGUCGAGCGAACAGACGCGGCUUUUGCUCCUCUGACGUUUGCGGCGGACGGGUGAGUAACACGAGUAAACCCUCCCUUUCUUACUGGUAUAAUUUGGGGAAACCGGCUCUAAUCCCGUAUAAUCUCUUGAUCCGUAUGGUUCAUUGGUAAAAUACGGUUUUUCUGUCUCUACUCGCUGGUUCCCCGCCGCAUUAGCUAGUUGGUACGUAAACGGCUUUCCAGGGCAACGAUGCGUAGCCGACCUGAGAGGGGGAUCGGCGACACGGGAAGUGAGACACGGUCAAGACGACUAAGAGAGGGAGCAGUAGGGAAUGUUACGCAAUGGGCGAAAGCAUGACGGAGCAAGGCCGAGUGAGUGAUGAAGGUCUUGGGAUCGUAAAAAUCUGUUAUUAGGGAAGAACAAAUGUGUAAGUAAAUAUGCACGUAUUGACGGUACCGAAUCAGAAAGCAACGGCUAACUACGUG
Molecule: ribosomal RNA, 497 nt
Filed under: uncultured bacterium
Lineage: Bacteria
Description: partial 16S ribosomal RNA
Rfam family: Bacterial small subunit ribosomal RNA
Source: RNAcentral